Molecule: ribosomal RNA, 492 nt
Filed under: uncultured bacterium
Lineage: Bacteria
Description: partial 16S ribosomal RNA
Rfam family: Bacterial small subunit ribosomal RNA
Source: RNAcentral
AGUGAACGCUGGCGGUAGGCCUAACACAUGCAAGUCGAACGGCAGCACAGUAAGAGCUUGCUCUUACGGGUGGCGAGUGGCGGACGGGUGAGGAAUACAUCGGAAUCUACUUUUUCGUGGGGGAUAACGUAGGGAAACUUACGCUAAUACCGCAUACGACCUACGGGUGAAAGCAGGGGAUCUUCGGACCUUGCGCGAUUGAAUGAGCCGAUGUCGGAUUAGCUAGUUGGCGGGGUAAAGGCCCACCAAGGCGACGAUCCGUAGCUGGUCUGAGAGGAUGAUCAGCCACACUGGAACUGAGACACGGUCCAGACUCCUACGGGAGGCGGCAGUGGGGAAUAUUGGACAAUGGGCGCAAGCCUGAUCCAGCCAUACCGCGUGGGUGAACAAGGCCUUCGGGUUGUAAAGCCCUUUUGUUGGGAAAGAAAAGCAGCAGGUUAAUACCCCGCUGUUCUGACGGUACCCAAAGAAUAAGCACCGGCUAACUUCGUG